GUACAGUUCUGCAGAUCUAGAGUCUAUAUAUAUAUAUAUAUGUGUGUGUGUGUGUGUUGGGAAACAUGGCCAGAAGGAACUAGAGUACACUGGCUGCAAGGUGCAAAAGUAUAUUUGCCAAGGUAUGAAGAUAAAGUGAAAAUUCUGAUAAUGAAACAAAACAUAGAACAUCAUAUGCAUGAAGAUGCAUGCAGGGUGAUCUUGAUA
This 207-nucleotide long non-coding RNA is filed under the name Elaeis guineensis (African oil palm). RNAcentral describes it as "long non-coding RNA (EGUI_LNC013502)". The record is from RNAcentral. Lineage: Eukaryota; Viridiplantae; Streptophyta; Magnoliopsida; Arecales; Arecaceae.